CGGCAGGCCUAACACAUGCAAGUCGAGGGGCAGCGAAGAUUGCUUGCAAUCUGUCGGCGACCGGCGCACGGGUGCGUAACGCGUAUACAAUCUACCUCAUACUGGGGGAUAGGCUUUAGAAAUGAAGAUUAAGACCCCAUGGUAUCCUGAUACUGCAUGGUAUCGGGAUUAAAGGUUACGGUAUGAGAUGAGUAUGCGUUCUAUUAGCUAGUUGGUAUGGUAACGGCAUACCAAGGCAACGAUAGAUAGGGGCCCUGAGAGGGGGAUCCCCCACACUGGUACUGAGACACGGACCAGACUCCUACGGGAGGCAGCAGUGAGGAAUAUUGGACAAUGGAGGGAACUCUGAUCCAGCCAUGCCGCGUGCAGGAAGACUGCCCUAUGGGUUGUAAACUGCUUUUAUACAGGAAGAAACACCUCUACGUGUAGAGGCUUGACGGUACUGUAAGAAUAAGGAUCGGCUAACUCCGUGCCAGCAGCCGCGGUAAUACGGAGGAUCCAAGCGUUAUCCGGAAUCAUUGGGUUUAAAGGGUCCGUAGGUUGAUAAUUAAGUCAGAGGUGAAAUCCUGCAGCUUAACUGUAGAAUUGCCUUUGAUACUGGUUGUCUUGAGUUAUUAUGAAGUAGUUAGAAUAUGUAGUGUAGCGGUGAAAUGCAUAGAUAUUACAUAGAAUACCAAUUGCGAAGGCAGAUUACUAAUAAUGCACUGACACU
Molecule: ribosomal RNA, 712 nt
Filed under: bacterium w3cc9
Lineage: Bacteria
Description: bacterial SSU rRNA
Rfam family: Bacterial small subunit ribosomal RNA
Source: RNAcentral